Molecule: ribosomal RNA, 497 nt
Filed under: uncultured bacterium
Lineage: Bacteria
Description: partial 16S ribosomal RNA
Rfam family: Bacterial small subunit ribosomal RNA
Source: RNAcentral
GAUGAACGCUGGCGGCGUGCCUAACACAUGCAAGUCGAGCGAACAGACGCGGAGUUUGCUCCUCUGACGUUAGCCGCGGACGGGUGAGUAACACGUGGAUAACCUACCUAUAAGACUGGGAUAACUUCGGGACACCGGAGCUUAUACCGGAUAAUCUAUUGAACCGUAUGGUUCAAUAGUGAAAUACGGUUUUGCUGUCAGUUAUAGAUGGAUCCGCGCGGCAUUAGCUAGUUGGUAAGGUAACGGCUUACCAAGGCAACGAUGCGUGACCGAAGUGAGAGAGGGGUCGGCGACAUGAGAGGUGGGACGCGGACCAGGCGACUGCGGGACGCACCAGAAGGGAAUCGGACGCAGUAGGCGAGAGCCUGACGGAGCGACGCGACGUGAGAGAUGGAGGUCUUGGGAGCGUGAAACUCUGUUAUGAGUGGAAAACAAAUGUGUAAGUAACUAUGCACUUCUUGACGGUAGCUGGUCAAAAAGCCACGGCUAACUACGUG